AACAACAACAGAAGAAGAAGCCAUUAAUGAACUGGUCAUCGUCCUCAUUCACCUGGAAGACGAGGAUGAGGUGGCCAAGGCCGCAAGGAGGGCUCUUUCCCAUCUAGCCCCAAAAGUCAAGUGGUGGGCGCAUCCCAACAAAUUUAGCCUCCACUUUGCACUCCACCAGGCUGCCAAGCAUCUGAGCAAGACCUUCAGCAAGAACAUCCUUCGGAGUGCUGCCUUGACAUGUACCAAGCCGUCGGCCAACAGGCUGCCAGCCGUCUCCAGGGUGGCAGCUCUGCUUCUGGGUAAGUCA
This is a long non-coding RNA of Lacerta agilis (Sand lizard), 298 nucleotides long. RefSeq lists it as uncharacterized. NCBI's taxonomy places the organism in Eukaryota, Metazoa, Chordata, Lepidosauria, Squamata, Lacertidae. The transcript is spliced from 3 exons. The record is from RefSeq and is a predicted model, not a curated record.